CUAAGCCUAAGCCUAAGCCUAAGUCUCAGCCUAAGCCUAAGCCUAAGCCUAAGCCUAAGCCUAAGCCUAAGCCUAAGCCUAAGCCUAAGCCUAAGCCUAAGCCUAAGCCUAAGCCUAAGCCUAAGCCUAAGCCUAAGCCUAAGCCUAAGCCUAAGCCUAAGCCUAAGCCUAAGCCUAAGCCUAAGCCUAAAA
This is a non-coding RNA of Caenorhabditis elegans, 192 nucleotides long. Lineage: Eukaryota; Metazoa; Nematoda; Chromadorea; Rhabditida; Rhabditidae. The record is from Ensembl.